AUUUACAUGACCUAAUUAUUUUACUACUAUUUUGAUUUUUUUCUGCUAACCACUCUGUCUUGUUUUUGUCUUCACUAGCUGCUUUAAUAAAGUAUUCAUUACUAUAUUGCCACUGAACUUGGUAUUCACAUAUUAAGAUCUCCCUACCAAAAGGAAAGAUAUUCUCUUCCUCUUUCACCAGUGCUGAGACCUUUUGUGGAAGCAGCAGUGACUUCUUUUUUCCAAAGAUGCAUAUACCUACAGUGGAUAUACAAGUGUGAUGUUUUGAAUAAGAUCUUCAGAUUCUCUAAUUCAUAAACACCUCCCAUGGCCUGCUCCCCAAGACAUACGUCAGAUUUUAGAAAAUGAAGAGGUUUUUGCUAUAAAGCCUGCAGAAUCAGUGGCAAUUGUUUCAUAGUCACCCAAUCAACGCCGUUUCUACAGCCACUGGAAAUGGCCAAGAUAAACAAACACCGCUCACGCUGCUUCUUCUUGUGCUCCGCUACUGCAGAGGUGAACUCUCAGCCAGGAUGUAUGCUAAGUAAGGAAAAACAUUAGCUGUUAUUUUAAGAUGGAAUGGACAACUGAUACUGACAGAACCUCUUUUGGACUUCAGGCAUGUUGCACCUAACUGAUAGCUCAUCAGUGUUCUAUAAGGGACCUAAUACUGUGUGCUCAGCAAGGCUUGGUCAAAUAUUGGUAGCCAAGAGCCAGAUUUUCACUGAGAGAACUAAUGAACAGACGUUUCACUGAAAGAAGUUGAAGCAGAAGUUAAACUGAGAAAGUGCUGCACGUCAAAUAUCAUCCUUUCUUGUA
RNAcentral lists this long non-coding RNA (795 nucleotides) under Gallus gallus (chicken). The record is from RNAcentral. Lineage: Eukaryota; Metazoa; Chordata; Aves; Galliformes; Phasianidae.